Oreochromis aureus is the source of this 119-nucleotide ribosomal RNA. The record is from Ensembl. NCBI's taxonomy places the organism in Eukaryota, Metazoa, Chordata, Actinopteri, Cichliformes, Cichlidae.
GCUUACGGCCAUACCACCCUGAACACGCCCGAUCUCGUCUGAUCUCGGAAGCUAAGCAGAGUCGAGCCUGGUCAGUACUUGGAUGGGAGACCGCCUGGGAAUACCAGGUGCUGUAAGCU